RNAcentral lists this ribosomal RNA (466 nucleotides) under uncultured bacterium. RNAcentral describes it as "partial 16S ribosomal RNA". It matches the Rfam family "Bacterial small subunit ribosomal RNA", at positions 28 to 507 of the family's 1533-position model. The record is from RNAcentral.
GACGAACGCUGGCGGUGUGCUUAACACAUGCAAGUCGAACGGUAAGGCCCUUUCGGGGGUACACGAGUGGCGAACGGGCGAGUAACACGUGAGUAACCUGCCCUCAUCUCUGGGAUAACAGUCGGAAACGGUUGCUAAUACUGGAUAUGAGCUUGCAAGGCAUCUUGUGGGUUGGAAGGAUUUUUUUGGUUGGGGAUGGACUAGCGGCCUAUUAGCUUGUUGGUGGGGUAGUGGUUCACCAAGGCCUCGACGGGUAGCCGGCCUGCGAGGGCGGCCGGCCACAUUGGGACUGAGAUACGGCCCAAACUCCUACGGGAGGCAGCAGUGGGGAAUAUUGCACAAUGGACGGAAGUCUGAUGCAGCAACGCCGCGUGCGGGAUGACGGCCUUCGGGUUGGAAACCGCUUUCAAUUGUGACGAAGCUUUUUGUGACGGUAGCAGUAGAAGAAGCACCGGCUAACUACGUG